Molecule: non-coding RNA, 81 nt
Organism: Myotis davidii
Lineage: Eukaryota; Metazoa; Chordata; Mammalia; Chiroptera; Vespertilionidae
Source: Rfam
AGGUCCACAGAGAGAGGCAGGGUUUGAUCUGCAGCCUCCGUGGCAGCUGUUGAUCAGCUGUUGCCUCUCUCUUUCUCUCCA